UAGGGAAUCUUCCGCAAUGGGCGAAAGCCUGACGGAGCAACGCCGCGUGAGUGAUGAAGGUCUUCGGAUCGUAAAACUCUGUUAUUAGGGAAGAACAAAUGUGUAAGUAACUAUGCACGUCUUGACGGUACCUAAUCAGAAAGCCACGGCUAACUACGUGCCAGCAGCCGCGGUAAUACGUAGGUGGCAAGCGUUAUCCGGAAUUAUUGGGCGUAAAGCGCGCGUAGGCGGUUUUUUAAGUCUGAUGUGAAAGCCCACGGCUCAACCGUGGAGGGUCAUUGGAAACUGGAAAUCUUGAGUGCAGAAGAGGAAAGUGGAAUUCCAUGUGUAGCGGUGAAAUGCGCAGAGAUAUGGAGGAACACCAGUGGCGAAGGCGACUUUCUGGUCUGUAACUGACGCUGAUGUGCGAAAGCGUGGGGAUCAAACAGG
This 429-nucleotide ribosomal RNA is filed under the name Actinomycetes bacterium. RNAcentral describes it as "Actinobacteria bacterium partial 16S ribosomal RNA". It matches the Rfam family "Bacterial small subunit ribosomal RNA", at positions 355 to 776 of the family's 1533-position model. The record is from RNAcentral. Lineage: Bacteria; Bacillati; Actinomycetota; Actinomycetes.